UACGGAGGGGGCAAGCGUUGUUCGGAUUUACUGGGCGUAAAGGGUGCGUAGGUGGUGAAGUAAGUCGGAUGUGAAAUCUCGGAGCUUAACUCCGAAACUGCAUUGGAAACUACUUUGCUCGAGGGUUGGAGGGGGGACUGGAAUUCUCGGUGUAGCAGUGAAAUGCGUAGAUAUCGAGAGGAACACCAGUGGCGAAGGCGAGUCCCUGGACAACUCCUGACACUGAGGCACGAAAGCUAGGGGAGCAAACAGG
This 253-nucleotide ribosomal RNA is filed under the name uncultured bacterium. RNAcentral's name for it is "partial 16S ribosomal RNA". It matches the Rfam family "Bacterial small subunit ribosomal RNA", at positions 524 to 776 of the family's 1533-position model. The record is from RNAcentral.